Non-coding RNA from Cicer arietinum (chickpea), 266 nucleotides. The record is from RefSeq and is a predicted model, not a curated record. Lineage: Eukaryota; Viridiplantae; Streptophyta; Magnoliopsida; Fabales; Fabaceae.
CGAGUCAGUCACAUCGCCGGAAAAGAUUCAAUCCAAUAAAUCACCCGCACAGCAAACCAGCUGCCGCACCACAAUUGGAUUUUCGUGGUAAAAAUAAAGUCGGCAAACUUCAAAAAUUGGAGGGUAAUAAAGCUGACAAACUUCAAAAGCUAGAGGGUAAAAACGAAUUGGGGCAGCAACAAUGAUUCACACAUCAUAAGCAUGGAUAAAGCUAUAUUCGGAGAUGAGUAUGAAGGACUACUUGAAAAAGAGCACAUAUACGAUGA